GAAAUGCGAUACGUAAUGUGAAUUGCAGAAUUCAGUGAAUCAUCAAAAUCUUGAACGCACCUUGCGCCUUGAGGUCACUCAAGGCAUGCUUGUUUCAGGGUCAGUUUAUUAUUCUCCACAAACACACAACUGUGUGUGUGGGAUAUGGCAGUCGCAAGCACAUGCUUCCGUCUGUUGAAAAAGAUGAGCCUACCAGCAUACCGAGUCGCUCACUGCGCACGGCUGGGCAUCGAUGAGUUUUGAACGCGGCAUAGCCCGUACUUAUCUCAUCAACCCAGCUGCUAGCGGUAAGCCUCAUGUUGGCAGGUGGCCAAACACAAUGCUACCAGCUAGCAUUGGCACUUCCAUCUUUCAAUUUUGACCUGAAAUCAAGUAGGGCAACCCGCUGAAUUUAA
This 395-nucleotide unclassified non-coding RNA is filed under the name uncultured Russulaceae. Its description in RNAcentral is "sequence contains ITS1". The stretch from base 1 to 103 matches the Rfam family "5.8S ribosomal RNA", at positions 50 to 154 of the family's 154-position model. Lineage: Eukaryota; Fungi; Basidiomycota; Agaricomycetes; Russulales; Russulaceae. The record is from RNAcentral.